GUGAAACUGUGAAACACUUUCGAAGAGGAAACGGUUCAAGAGGCACACUUUGUUUACGGACAUUUUAACUCGGGUCUGCAAUGGCUGGAACUCAAUCCUUGCUUGUCUCCAUUCUGGAUGAACUGCUGGCAGAUGACCUGAAGAGAUUUAGGUGGUAUCUGUCAUGUGAUGUGCCAGGGGGCUUUGAAACCAUCCCAAAGGGCAAGGUGGAGGAAGCCAAGCAUGUGACAGAGACUGUGACUCAGAUGGUGGAGGGCUAUGGAGAAGAUGGGGCAGUGACAGUCACUCUGCAUGUCCUGAGGAAAAUAGGCCAGAACAAUCUCGCUCAGAAACUGGAGAAAGAGCACAAUGGUAGAGGAGCUGGUAAGCCUUAGCUGCUUUCAGCCCACACCACCAAAAGACCCUGGUCCCUGGUGUGGCAGACUUAUCACAGCCAGAAACUCUCUCUCAGCCUCUCUCAUUCCAGCCGGACCCAGCCACGUGGAUGGAGCCCCUGUCCAGCCCGGGGCAGCUGCACCCCAGGUGUCCAUGUCAGCCACCAGUGGAGGGAAAAUUGUGGCACCCCUGAUCUCUGGCUCUAAUUUUCAGGGUCCUGUCAACAUGAACUUCAGUUAAGGUUCCUGUGUCUCCUGCUGAAUGAUACUGCCAAGAUCCCUCACCCACCUCACCCACCUACCUAACUUCAGGGCUACACCAAGGAAACUCAACUCAACCCCAGACCAGCACAGAGACUUCGUGGUAGAACACUCAUCGAUACUGGAGAAGAGACAGGAGCAUCACUGUCUCAGACAGACCGGUUGCCUCUGUUUGAUGUAGCUGUACUCUGGAAGCUAGUGGAGGCUCCCUUCCGUUUCAUCUGUUAAUAAGUGGGACCCGUUUGCGUUUGUUGUAGUUUAGUUAUGUCCUAGGAGGGCUUUGCCCUCUAAUCUAUCUGAACGUCCAUGGCUGACCUAAGAGUUCUCUGUCUGUGGCUGUUAUUAAGGGACUAGGGGGAAUAUUUGCUGUUUAUUAACAUUUUUUUUCUUUUGUUAUUUUCCAAACAAAUCUUUUAUAUGAUAUCUCACUCUUUGUAGUUGUAAAAUGGUGCAUUAGAAUGACCUAAGAGUUCUCUGUCUGUGGCUGUUAUUAAGGGACUGGGGGGAAUAUUUACUGUUUAUUAACAUUUUUUUUCUUUUGUUAUUUUCCAAACAAAUCUUUUAUAUGAUAUCUCACUCUUUGUAGUUAUAAAAUGGUGCAUUAGAAUGACCUAAGAGUUCUCUGUCUGUGGCUGUUAUUAAGGGACUGGGGGGAAUAUUUACUGUUUAUUAACAUUUUUUUUCUUUUGUUAUUUUCCAAACAAAUCUUUUAUAUGAUAUCUCACUCUUUGUAGUUAUAAAAUGGUGCAUUAGAAUGACUCUGAUCAUAAAGCAGCAGGGCUGAAUGACAGUCUUUAUGAUACUUGCGGUGCGAUAGUUUGCAGCCUUAUUUAACAUCCUUCACAACUCUUCAGGCUGACUGUUUCUGUCAGCUUCCUGCUGUAGCUGAUGGAAAAUAGAUUUAUCAG
This is a long non-coding RNA of Megalops cyprinoides (Indo-Pacific tarpon), 1543 nucleotides long. RefSeq lists it as uncharacterized. The record is from RefSeq and is a predicted model, not a curated record. Lineage: Eukaryota; Metazoa; Chordata; Actinopteri; Elopiformes; Megalopidae. The transcript has 3 exons.